This 273-nucleotide ribosomal RNA is filed under the name uncultured Acinetobacter sp. RNAcentral's name for it is "partial 16S ribosomal RNA". It matches the Rfam family "Bacterial small subunit ribosomal RNA", at positions 524 to 796 of the family's 1533-position model. Lineage: Bacteria; Pseudomonadati; Pseudomonadota; Gammaproteobacteria; Moraxellales; Moraxellaceae. The record is from RNAcentral.
UACAGAGGGUGCGAGCGUUAAUCGGAUUUACUGGGCGUAAAGCGUGCGUAGGCGGAUUUUUAAGUCGGAUGUGAAAUCCCUGCGCUUAACUUAGGAAUUGCCUUCGAUACUGGGAAGCUAGAGUAUGGGAGAGGAUGGUAGAAUUCCAGGUGUAGCGGUGAAAUGCGUAGAGAUCUGGAGGAAGACCGAUGGCGAAGGCAGCCAUCGGGCCUAAUACUGACGCUGAGGUACGAAAGCAUGGGGAGCAAACAGGAUUAGAUACCCCGGUAGUCC